GGGGGAAUAUUGCACAAUGGGCGAAAGCCUGAUGCAGCGACGCCGCGUGAGCGAAGAAGUAUUUCGGUAUGUAAAGCUCUAUCAGCAGGGAAGAUAAUGACGGUACCUGACUAAGAAGCACCGGCUAAAUACGUGCCAGCAGCCGCGGUAAUACGUAUGGUGCAAGCGUUAUCCGGAUUUACUGGGUGUAAAGGGAGCGCAGGCGGUGCGGCAAGUCUGAUGUGAAAGCCCGGGGCUCAACCCCGGUACU
Molecule: ribosomal RNA, 250 nt
Filed under: uncultured bacterium
Lineage: Bacteria
Description: partial 16S ribosomal RNA
Rfam family: Bacterial small subunit ribosomal RNA
Source: RNAcentral